This 471-nucleotide ribosomal RNA is filed under the name uncultured bacterium. RNAcentral's name for it is "partial 16S ribosomal RNA". It matches the Rfam family "Bacterial small subunit ribosomal RNA", at positions 28 to 507 of the family's 1533-position model. The record is from RNAcentral.
GGCGAACGCUGGCGGCGUGCUUAACACAUGCAAGUCGAACGAUGAAGCGGUGCUUGCACCGUGGAUUAGUGGCGAACGGGUGAGUAAUACGUGAGUGACCUACCUUUGACUCUGGGAUAAGCCUGGGAAACUGGGUCUAAUACCGGAUACGACCAAUCUCUGCAUGGGGUGUUGGUGGAAAGCGUUAUGGAGUGGUUUUAGAUGGGCUCACGGCCUAUCAGCUUGUUGGUGAGGUAAUGGCUUACCAAGGCGACGACGGGUAGCCGGCCUGAGAGGGUGACCGGCCACACUGGGACUGAGACACGGCCCAGACUCCUACGGGAGGCAGCAGUGGGGAAUAUUGCACAAUGGGCGCAAGCCUGAUGCAGCGACGCCGCGUGAGGGAUGACGGCCUUCGGGUUGUAAACCUCUGUUAGCAUCGAAGAAGCGAAAGUGACGGUAGGUGCAGAGAAAGCGCCGGCUAACUACGUG